Molecule: small nuclear RNA, 107 nt
Organism: Acomys russatus (golden spiny mouse)
Lineage: Eukaryota; Metazoa; Chordata; Mammalia; Rodentia; Muridae
Source: RefSeq, a predicted model, not a curated record
GUGCUCACUUCGGCAGCAUAUAUACUAAAACUGGAAUGAUGCAGAGAAGACUAGCAUGGCCCCUGGACAAGAAUGACAUGCAUAUUUGUGAAGCAUUCCAUAUUUUU